UACGUAGGGUGCGAGCGUUGUCCGGAAUUACUGGGCGUAAAGAGCUCGUAGGUGGUCUGUCGCGUUGUUCGUGAAAACUCACAGCUCAACUGUGGGCGUGCGGGCGAUACGGGCAGACUGGAGUACUGCAGGGGAGACUGGAAUUCCUGGUGUAGCGGUGGAAUGCGCAGAUAUCAGGAGGAACACCGGUGGCGAAGGCGGGUCUCUGGGCAGUAACUGACGCUGAGGAGCGAAAGCGUGGGGAGCGAACAGG
This 253-nucleotide ribosomal RNA is filed under the name uncultured bacterium. RNAcentral describes it as "partial 16S ribosomal RNA". It matches the Rfam family "Bacterial small subunit ribosomal RNA", at positions 524 to 776 of the family's 1533-position model. The record is from RNAcentral.